This 25-nucleotide non-coding RNA is filed under the name Mus musculus (house mouse). The record is from RNAcentral. Lineage: Eukaryota; Metazoa; Chordata; Mammalia; Rodentia; Muridae.
CCCUGCCUCCAAAAGAAACAAAAAC